AUAGGUAAUAGCUAUUGGCUUGUAUUUUUUUUUUUUUUUUAAUUAUUAUGAAUACAGUGAGUUGCUCCAGCGGAAAAGCAGCUUUGCAGAAAAGGGCUUGGAGGUUAUGGAGGACACUAAUUGGAACAUGAGUGAAGAAUAUUUGCUUACAAUAAAGAAGGCUAGUGGUAUUCUGGACUGCAUUAAGAAAAGCAUUGACAGCAGGCUAAGGGAGGUGACCCUUCCUGUCUGCUCAGAUCUGGUGAGGCGACACCUGGACGAACUCUGUCCAGUGCCAGACUCUUCAGUUCAAGAGAGUCAUGCAAAUACUGAAAAAGCCCAGUGAAGGAUCAGGAAGAUAAAGUACUGGAAGACCUCUCCUAUGAGGGAAGGCUGAAGAAGUGGAGAUUGUUCAGCCUGGAGAAGAGAAGGCUCAGGGGGGAGCUCAUCAAUGUAUAUAAACACUUGAAGGGAGGGUGCAAAGACAACAGAACCAGGCUCCUUCCAGUGGUGCGCAGAGACAGGACCAGACAUCAUGAGCACAUGCUGAAACACAGAAAAUUCCGUCUGACUAUCAGAAAACUCUUUCCCUGUGAGAGUGACCGAGCACUGGCACAGGUUGUCCAGGGAGGUGAUGGAUUUGCCAUUGCUGGAAAUGUUCAAGAACUGUCUGGACAUGACCUCAGACAACUGACUCUAGCUGGCCCUGCUUGAGCUGGUGGUUUGGACCAGAUGACCUCCAGAGAACUCUUCCAACCUCAAACACUCUGUGAUGCUGUGUGUGUACAUGUUUUACAUGAAUCUCACAUUAAAAUCAGUCAAUGAAUUUUCCAAUGGCUCAUAGUGGCCUAAAGAAAACCUCUCAAGGACUGUUUAAGUGGCCAAAAAUGGUGUGAUUUGCCUUGGAAGAGCAAGGUACUGUUAUUAACCUACUUUCUUUCUCUGAACAUAACUAACUAGUAUUUCUGCAUUUGUAACACAAUUCCUCUAAAUGGGUAGUUGUUUCUGCCAAGAAUCAAGCCUUUGAUGUAAAAAUCUUUAGCCUUUGGAAAUAUGGCUUUGGUUCUGAUAUAAAUUGCAACUGUAAGAUGCAGGUAAAUGAUGAAACCAAGGUGUCUUGCCAUAACCUGAUUUUGUUUGAUAUUACUGUGAGCUGCUUAGGGUGAUGUCUCUUAUUUGCACCAAGCUUAGGAAAGAUAUAUUAAUUUUACUGUGGUGAAUUUCAGGAAGUUUAUCGAAGUUUUUAAAAGUUGCAGUCCUAGAAUUGUUUACCUGCUGUUUAAAAAGAGAUAAUUUCAUAGUCUUGGUGAAUGUUAUAUUUGUCUUCAUCUUAAACAGAACCCUUUGGCUCCUUGUGAACCGACCUGUCAUAGUUUCUCUUGUGAGGAAAUCAUUAGCAGAGCAGAGAAAUAUCAUUAUGGGUCUAUCAUUGCAUCUGACUCAGCAAGGUGGGUGAGUCUGACAGAGAUGGGAUGGAUAUGUGCACAGUUCUGUUUGGGAACAGGUACCUUACAAGCAGGGACGUGAUCAGUGAGUCCUUUUUUCCAAACACAGAACCUAACUGCCACCUCGUGCUGAGGUGGUUACUUCAGUAGCCCAGUAGGCAAACCAAAUUUUUGUAACAAAAUAUUAUAGUAUAGAUUGGCUAUAAAUUUUAGAGUUACCAGAAUCAUAAAAGUGACAGUAAAAUUGAUAUUAAUGUUUAUCUGAUUCAACAUAAAGAAUGUCUUACUGUCUUUAAGUAAGAAUAUGUUUCAACAUGGCAAAUAAGUUUCUUACCUUAACCAGGACCAGUAAAUAAAUUCUUUCUUCAUUUUUCGGGAUUCUGUGUACGUAAAAAUUCUGAGGGUAAUAACAGUGAUAGUACUGUAUUAAUAGAGAGAAAAAUGACAGUGCCAAAGUAAAUAUGUCAUCCUAGAUGUAGGGACAGUAGCUGAAAAUUGUCUCAAAACAACUAAAUUUUUUCUGUUGCUCCAACUGCAGAAAUAGUAAAAGCACAUUGCUAAGGGAACCUCUAUUAAUGAGAUUUGUAAGAAUGCUAAUAGGUAAAUCUAAAAUUAUCAAUGGUAACACAAAUUAACACAACUCCAACUCAUCACAAUUCAGGAUUAUAAAUAUUCAUAAAUGCUCAGUACUCUCAUAGGUGUAAGUAUUUCUGAGCAUAUUUAUAUAUUUAAUACUUCUAUCCCUAUGCAAAGAUAAAAUAAGUCAAAAUAUACGUCUGUCCUAUACCAUUUAAGGAGACAUUUCAUCAGAUUAGCAUGCAGAGAUUAAGUCUUGUCACUUAAAUUAUUCAUCAGCUUCCAAAUUUAUAUAUGUAAGUAAAGUAUGCUUAUACCCCAAAGUCAUAUAUAUGUUAUUAAAACUUAAUUUCACUUGCUGUAUACAACAUUAUGAUCUUCUUUGUUGCCUUUCUUUUUCCUGUACUUAAAGAUAUGAAAAUGAGAAAGGAGUUUAAUGUUAAAGGCAUUGGAAAUCAAAACAGUAUUAGAAAGACAAAGUAUUUAAUGGGUUCAUGUGGUUAUAAUGAUGUAUAUUAAUGUAAAUUGUAUGCUGAUAAUAUCAAUUCAUACAGUACUAUUUUCAUUAUAUGUUGUCGUGCUACCCAAAUUGAAAGUAAUCUAGUUUAUAAAUAUCAAUUGAAUAUCUGUGUUAUUAAAAUUGUCAUCACUGACCUAUGUUUAAACUUACUAUCUGCUCAAGCUAAAGUGAGUGUUCACUUAACAGCUGUUUCAGAGCACUAUAUCUGAUGACUUGGGAUCUUUUUUAAACAGCACAAACUGAAGGGCUAAUUUUAGUCCUGUUUUCUCUCUGGAAGAUCAUAUGUAUUGGGAAAAGAUGUGGGAAUUUUCAUUUUCAAAAGACUGUAGUCUCAGUCUAGUUCUGAUCUCACGCAAGUCAUUAAUAACUUCUAAAAAUAUUUUAAUGUUUUUCUUCCCUUGUCAAUUUCAGGCUUUCUCAGAAUUAGGUUCUUAUUUUGAAAUAGGGAUCUGGUUAAUAAUUUCACUGCAAAAGGUUUUUUCUUUUAUUUUCUUUUACUACUCUUUUCCAGAAAACCUAAUUUUUCUUCUGCCAUCUACUCUUGUACUUUGUGCACUCCUGAAUUUUUCCACUCUUGUCAAGGUCAGCGCUCAAAAUGUCUUCUCUCUGAACUCCUAAUUCUCCUAAACAUUGCAAAAGAUGGCAGUUUGGCUCUCAGGAUCAGCAACUUUGCUCUGAGACUGCUUAGCACAAUAAUGCAGUAGGAUGUACAUAAUUACUUCUUGAUAAUUUUGUUGAAGUGAGAGUAAGCAAUAUAUUCCACUCUAAAAUGACAAGGUUAUUAUGGGUGCUUUUUUUGUCUUCCUUGAGCUUUUUAGCCCAUAAAUAGUUUUAAAUUCUAGCUUCUCCUAAGCUCUACAGAAAAACUUGAUGCCUAAAUGGAGAUCUAAAGAUAUUGUGAGGACUGCCAGUCAAUGUGUGAUAUCCUCAGACCACCACCCAUGUACCUCACAUAUCUGCAGGAGUCUCAACAGCACAUAGAUGCACACAGAAACUAUUUCAAUAAUUUUCUUUGACUGUCUUUAUUUCUGCUAGGGUUCUUUAAGCACUGCACGCCAGCAGCACUGAAUCAGGAAAGAGCAAAGGGGAAACUAGUAAUGAGAUACAGCAAGAAAACCCACAAUCAGCACCAGCUGUUCCCCAAUUAAACUCAACAGUUCACAGGUGUUCUCAAGAGGAUACACAGUUUUGCCUAUGCCAAGAAUUUCCUGUUGUCACACUUCAGCAUGAGUGGAGAUCUUCCUAGGAAGCCUCAAGUACAAUGAGGUGGCAAAAUUCCUUUGGACUCCUGUGAAGGUCUCUCCACAUUGACAGAUCAGAACUGGAGACAGAUCAUCAUCGAUGAGCUGCAAAUGCGAGAUUUUAAAUUUGAAUCUGUCACAGUGAGAAGAUACUUAUCUAUGUGAGUCAAAUGAGGAAAAGUGCUCCUUAAGUCCACACAUUAUAGUGCUGGUGACUUAUAGAGAAAAUCUCAAAAGCCUGGUUAGCCAAAUCUCUCCACCCUGUUGAAAAUUAUAAACCUAAGUAAAGAGGAGACAAAACACUGUAGAGAACCAACCCCUCACUGUACUGAUGUAUUGAUGAUUAUUUAAGUCUUAUGCCAUAUAACUGUGCUUUUUAAAAUUGAAGAAUUUGACCUUCUGGUUAUGUUAUUGACAUGAAAUAUGGCUUAUUAAAAAAAAUAUUAAAAUAAGUAACUGGAGACACAGCUGCUGACUUUGCCAGAAAAAUGUUGUGCUAAUAUGUCCUUCCUGUCAGCCUCUGAAAAGAGCGGAGAAGGUGAAGGAAGGCUAAGAAGAAAGGGAAAAACAAGA
Pseudopipra pipra is the source of this 4334-nucleotide long non-coding RNA. RefSeq lists it as uncharacterized. The transcript has 4 exons. NCBI's taxonomy places the organism in Eukaryota, Metazoa, Chordata, Aves, Passeriformes, Pipridae. The record is from RefSeq and is a predicted model, not a curated record.